This 422-nucleotide ribosomal RNA is filed under the name uncultured archaeon. RNAcentral's name for it is "partial 16S ribosomal RNA". It matches the Rfam family "Archaeal small subunit ribosomal RNA", at positions 323 to 746 of the family's 1478-position model. The record is from RNAcentral.
CUACGGGGCGCUGCAGGUAAGAAUAAUCUACAAUGCGCGAAAGCGUGAUAGUUUGAGUCAGAGUGCUUUGCUAUUUGCAAAGCUUUUGUGAAAUGUAAAAAGUUUCACGAAUAAGGACUGGGUAAGACGAGUGCCAGCCGCCGCGGUAAUACUCGCGGUCCAAGUCGCAGCCAUUUUUAUUGGGUCUAAAACAUCCGUAGCUUGCUUAAUAAGUUUCUUGUGAAAUUCCAUGUCUCAAGUAUGGAGCGUGCAAGAAAUACUGUUGAGCUAGAGACUGGAAGACGUAAGGAGUACGUUCGAAGUAGCGGUUAAAUGUGUUAAUCUCGAGCGGACUUACAAUAGCGAAGGCACCUUACGAGGACAGUUCUGACAGUAAGGGAUGAAGGCUAGGGGCGCAAAACGGAUUAGAUACCCUGGUAGUC